AUUGAACGCUGGCGGCAUGCCUUACACAUGCAAGUCGGACGGUAACGGGCCUUCGGGUGCCGACGAGUGGCGAACGGGUGAGUAAUACAUCGGAACGUGCCCGAUCGUGGGGGAUAACGAGGCGAAAGCUUUGCUAAUACCGCAUACGAUCUACGGAUGACAGCAGGGGACCGCAAGGCCUUGCGCGGACGGAGCGGCCGAUGGCAGAUUAGGUAGUUGGUGGGAUAAAAGCUUACCAAGCCGACGAUCUGUAGCUGGUCUGAGAGGAUGAUCAGCCACACUGGGACUGAGACACGGCCCAGACUCCUACGGGAGGCAGCAGUGGGGAAUUUUGGACAAUGGGCGCAAGCCUGAUCCAGCCAUGCCGCGUGCAGGAUGAAGGCCUUCGGGUUGUAAACUGCUUUUGUACGGAACGAAAAGCCUUCUUUUAAUACAGGAGGGUCAUGACGGUACCGUAAGAAUAAGCACCGGCUAACUACGUG
RNAcentral lists this ribosomal RNA (482 nucleotides) under uncultured bacterium. RNAcentral describes it as "partial 16S ribosomal RNA". It matches the Rfam family "Bacterial small subunit ribosomal RNA", at positions 30 to 507 of the family's 1533-position model. The record is from RNAcentral.